Molecule: ribosomal RNA, 1127 nt
Filed under: uncultured marine Syndiniales
Lineage: Eukaryota; Dinophyceae; Syndiniales
Description: bacterial SSU rRNA
Rfam family: Eukaryotic small subunit ribosomal RNA
Source: RNAcentral
ACCUGGUUGAUCCUGCCAGUAGUCAUAUGCUUGUCUCAAAGAUUAAGCCAUGCAUGUCUCAGUAUAAGUUGUUCUACUGCAAAACUGCGAAUGGCUCAUUAAAACAGUUAUUGUUUACAAGAUGGUUUUUCAUUAUAUGGAUACCUAUGGUAAUUCUAGAGCUAAUACAUGCUUGCAUACCCAACUUAUUGGACGGGUUGUGCUUAUUAGAUACCGAGCUGGCCCAGGUUUCCUGGACAAAGUUGAUUCAUAGUACUUGAGCGAAUCGCAAUUUUGCGAUGAGUUUUUCAAGUUUCUGACCUAUCAGCUUCCGACGGUAGGGUAUUGGCCUACCGUGGCUUUGACGGGUAACGGGGAAUUAGGGUUCGAUUCCGGAGAGGGAGCCUGAGAAACGGCUACCACAUCUAAGGAAGGCAGCAGGCGCGUAAAUUACCCAAUCCUGAUACAGGGAGGUAGUGACAAGAAAUACCAAUACAAGGCUUUCAUGUUUUGUAAUUGGGAUGAGUGGAAUUUAAACCGCAUCACGAGUAUCAAUUGGAGGGCAAGUCUGGUGCCAGCAGCCGCGGUAAUUCCAGCUCCAAUAGCGUAUAUUAAAAUUGUUGCGGUUAAAACGCUCGUAGUUGAAUAUCUGCUUAGUACCCCCGGUCCACCCGAGUGGUGUGUACUCGGUCUGUGCUUAGCAUUUUUCUGGGGAACGCGUUCGCACUUCAUUGUGUGGCGCUUGAUCUGGUACUUUUACUUUGAGGAAAUGAGAGUGUUUCAAGCAGGCAGUUUGUUUUGAAUACGUUAGCAUGGAAUAAUAACGUGGGACUUCGUUCUAGAGUUGUUGGUUUUUGGAGCGAUGGAAUGAAAAUAGGGGUAGCUGGGGGCAUUCGUAUUUAACUGUCAGAGGUGAAAUUCUUGGAUUUUUUAAAGACGAACUACUGCGAAAGCAUCUGCCCAGGAUGCUUUUAUUAAUCAAGAACGAAAGUUAGGGGAUCGAGACGAUCAGAUACCGUCCUAGUCUUAACCAUAAACUAUGCCGACUAGAAAUGGGAGUCGUCAGAUUUUUGACGACUUCAGCAAUUUGAGAGAAAUCAAAGUCUUUGGGUUCCGGGGGGAGUAUGGUCGCAAGGCUGAAACUUAAA